Molecule: RNA transcript, 2320 nt
Organism: Raphanus sativus (radish)
Lineage: Eukaryota; Viridiplantae; Streptophyta; Magnoliopsida; Brassicales; Brassicaceae
Gene name: glyoxylate/hydroxypyruvate reductase A HPR2
Exons: 5
Source: RefSeq, a predicted model, not a curated record
AUCUACUCUACUCACUUGUUCGCGCUUGGAGCGUUUCCAGAAAGUAAACUAGAAAGUAUGGAAUCAAUCGGAGUCCUUAUGAUGUGCCCUAUGUCCUCCUACCUCGAGAACGAGCUUCAGAAGCGCUUCAACCUUGUUCGCUUUUGGAAUUUCCCGGAGACUCAUCGGAACUCAAUCCGCGCCGUGGUUGGAAACGCUUCUACAGGCGCUGACGCUGAGCUCAUCGAUGAUCUCCCCAAGCUUGAGAUUAUCUCCAGCUUCAGCGUGGGCAUCGAUAAGAUCGAUUUGGGGAAAUGCAAGGAAAAAGGGAUCCGAGUCACCAACACUCCGGACGUUCUCACUGAAGACGUGGCAGAUCUCGCGAUUGGCCUUAUACUUGCUCUCCUCCGACGCUUAUGUGAGUGCGAUAGCUAUGUGAGGAGCGGUAAAUGGAAGUAUGGCGGUUUUCAACUCACUACUAAGUUUAGCGGAAAAUCAGUGGGCAUCCUCGGUCUAGGUAGAAUUGGGACUGCCAUCGCCAAGAGAGCUGACGCCUUUAGCUGCCCAGUCAGUUACCACUCUAGAAGAGCCAAGCCUGAUUUAGGCUACAAGUAUUAUCCAACGGUGCUUGAGCUUGCUGAAAACUCUGACAUCUUCGUGGUAGCAUGCCCAUUGACUGACCAGACCAGAGGCAUUGUCAAUCGGCAGGUCAUGGAUGCAUUAGGAGCAAAGGGUGUUGAUGAGCAAGAGCUAGUAAAAGCUCUAACAGAAGGCCGCCUAGGUGGGGCUGCGCUGGACGUGUUUGAGCAGGAGCCACACGUACCCGAGGAGCUCUUUCAACUUGAAAAUGUGGUUUUGCUUCCUCACGUUGGGAGUAGCACUGUAGAGACAGAGAAUGCCAUGGCAGAUCUUGUGGUGAGUAACUUGGAAGCGCACUUCGCUGGGAAAUCACUUCUGACUCCGGUGGUCUGAGUAAAGGGCUCCUUCUAUUAUCUAUGUCGAUACACUAAUGAUGGAAAGUCUCAAUUUCUCUUCCAAACAAGUCGAAUUGUCGUAUAUAAGGAAAGGAAGGGUUUGGUUAUUUUAAUAAAGAGAAGUCCAACUUUGAUGUGAUAGGCCCAUUGUCCUUGGAGAUACCUAAUCGGCAAAACCUUGCCUGACUGUUGUUCAUGAUCCUUACUAGAGUGGAUAUGUUCAAGCAGGGUUUGGCAUAUAAAAAAGAGUUGCAAAGAAUACUGUGAGAACCUGUGUAUGAAAGCAGUAAACCAAUCAAUUGGUAGAGAGCAAUAAGCCAGGCAAAGGACUAUGUAGCUGUUUUACUGGCAGAUGCUUGAUACUCCAAUGAUCAGUGUAAAAUAAGAACAUCUCAUUCUUAUCCAUCCAGCUCGUUUUAGUCCACUAAAGGCUACGGAGCCGUUCACAGACUGUUGUGCCAAUUCUUUAAACAUUAAAACUCCUUCCUAAAGUGACCAAGUCAGCACUAGUGGCCGUGUCUAGGAGAGCGAGUAACCUAUGAGAACAUUUUGGAGGAAGUCCAUGGCACUCUAAUUUUAGCAAACAAGAUCUCCGUUGGCAACAUCAGCGGACGUCAGUUGAGGGAAUAAACACCUCAAGGCAACUUCAUAAGCAGCAAAAAUGGCACCGUUGACAACAAAGGCCCUGGCAACUGCAGUCCCGAGGCCACGCCAGAGAACCCCAUAGCCUUCCUGUGCGAUGCUCUUACGAAAACAAUCGGUAAUGCCAUCGUAAGAACCAUGAUUUCCUUGUUGAAGCCUGGUCUUGACGACAUCAAGAGGAUAGCAAACGACCCAGCUGGAGACACCAGCCAGGCCACCUGCGACCAGCAUGGUGCGGAGGGUUUCUUCUCCACUCUUCCUGCAGCCGGGAUGAAGCCUUUCUCGUACGUACUCGUAAGUCCAGAAAUAGAGGCCGUGAGCAGGAGCAUCUCUGAGAACAGUUAUGGUAAGGCCUUUGUAAAUCCCUUUGAGACCUUCUCUCCUAAGGAUGGUCUUAGCCAAGCAGAUGGGGCCGCUGUUGCUCUGCUGCAGCUGAAGACGAAUCUUGAUGAGCUCAACGGGGCUAAGCAAGAGGCUCUGAACAGCGCCAGUGCCAACCCCACCAAGAGCAACGCCUCUGUAGGAAGGAGGCUCUUCUAGGGGAAGAGAGGAAUCAAAGGAGCGAGAGAGUAUGGCAUAUAUCUGGAAUACCAUAGCAUUCUGUGACAUGAUCACAAGAAGAAGAAGAUGAAGAUGAGUAAAUCACAUGUGCGCAAGAGAAUAUGCGAGUGGAAUCUAAUGUUUUUUUAAAAAGAAAAAAAAAAGGUAAUGAUGGAUGGGAUAUU